RNAcentral lists this RNase P RNA (397 nucleotides) under Enterococcus termitis. RNAcentral describes it as "RNase P RNA component class B". It matches the Rfam family "Bacterial RNase P class B". Rfam says of the family: Ribonuclease P (RNase P) is a ubiquitous endoribonuclease, found in archaea, bacteria and eukarya as well as chloroplasts and mitochondria. The record is from RNAcentral. Lineage: Bacteria; Bacillati; Bacillota; Bacilli; Lactobacillales; Enterococcaceae.
AUUUUCGGGUGAUCGCGGUUUGAUUUUUCAAGCUGAGGAAAGUCCAUGCUCGCACAGGCUGAGAUGUCUGUAGUGUUCGUGCUUAGCGAAAUCAUAAGCUAAGGUACUUAAUCCAGUGAAAUCAGCUGAUUUCACUAUAUAAAGUAACGGCAGGAAAAAUGACUAAGGCUACGGCUAUGUCAAAGUACCCUUGAAAGUGCCACAGUGACGAAGCAAUUUUGGAAACGGAAUUGGUGGAACGCGGUAAACCCCUCGAGCGAGCAACCCAAACAAUGGUAGGGGCGCUCUUCUAAAGGAAAUGAACGAGUAGAAGAGGCAGAUUUAUUUCUGCAGAUAGAUGAUGACCAUCACUUGUUUUUCCCUGAGAAAUAAGUGAUACAGAACAUGGCUUACAGAA